Long non-coding RNA from Callorhinchus milii (elephant shark), 127 nucleotides. RefSeq lists it as uncharacterized. Lineage: Eukaryota; Metazoa; Chordata; Chondrichthyes; Chimaeriformes; Callorhinchidae. The record is from RefSeq and is a predicted model, not a curated record. The transcript has 3 exons.
AAGGUGCUGGAGGAGGAGAUCGUCUUUCCGCUGUCAUUCGAACAACUGGAGCGUGGGAAUGAGGUCAUGCAAACUAUCACCCUGAGCAACAUCAGCAACAUGGAGAAAAUGCAAUUGAACAGUUUCC